This is a non-coding RNA of Schistosoma rodhaini, 46 nucleotides long. NCBI's taxonomy places the organism in Eukaryota, Metazoa, Platyhelminthes, Trematoda, Strigeidida, Schistosomatidae. The record is from Rfam.
GCAUUGCUGACGAGUCACACAAUAGAACGAAACGGCCGUCCAGUGC